GGCCCCAUCGUCUAGUGGUUAGGACAUAUGGUUCUCAUCCAUAAAAUGGGGGUUCGAUUCCCCCUGGGGCUA
RNAcentral lists this transfer RNA (72 nucleotides) under bacterium. Its description in RNAcentral is "tRNA-Glu". It matches the Rfam family "tRNA". From Rfam's summary of the family: Transfer RNA (tRNA) molecules are approximately 80 nucleotides in length. Their secondary structure includes four short double-helical elements and three loops (D, anti-codon, and T loops). The record is from RNAcentral.